GUGUCCCUGGCCGAUCGGCACAGGCACCGGCCCCCCACGCCGGACAGGCGGGUUUGACUCCCGCGGGGCACGC
This 73-nucleotide transfer RNA is filed under the name Tautonia plasticadhaerens. RNAcentral describes it as "Planctomycetes bacterium ElP tRNA-Gly". The record is from RNAcentral. Lineage: Bacteria; Pseudomonadati; Planctomycetota; Planctomycetia; Isosphaerales; Isosphaeraceae.